RNAcentral lists this long non-coding RNA (796 nucleotides) under Vitis vinifera (wine grape). RNAcentral describes it as "long non-coding RNA (VVIN_LNC001979)". The record is from RNAcentral. Lineage: Eukaryota; Viridiplantae; Streptophyta; Magnoliopsida; Vitales; Vitaceae.
GGUGGUCGAUAAGUUGGUGUUGGUAGACGAGAUGGUGGACUCGAUGGGGGUGGACGAGGUGGGGAGGGUGUGGGGGUUGGCGGUGGUCUAUAAGUGGGUGGUGGACUCAAGGGAGGUGGACGAGGUAGGGAGGGUGUGGGGGUUGGUGGUGGUCUAUAAGUGGGUGGUGGACUCAAAGGAGGUGGACGAGGUAGGGAGGGUGUGGGGGUUGGAGGUGGUCUAUAAGCGGGUGGUGGACGAGGUAGGGAGGGUGUGGGGGUUGGUGGUGGUCUAUAAGUGGGUGGUGGACUCAAAGGAGGUGUACGAGGAGGGGAGGGUGUAGGGGUUGGUGGUGGUGGUGGUUUAUAAAUGGGUGGUGGACUCAAGGGAGGUGUACGAGGUGGGGAUGGUGUAGGGAUUGGUGGUGGAGGCGUUUUAACAGGUGGUGGACUCGAUGGAGGAGUGCGAGGAGGGGAGGGUGUGGGGGUUGGUGGUGGUUUAUAAAUGGGUGGUGGACUCGAGGGAGGUGUACGAGGUGGGGAGGGUGUAGGGGUUGGUGGUGGAGGCGUUUUAACAGGUGGUGGACUCGAUGGAGGAGUGUGAGGAGGGGAGGGUGUGGGGGUUGGUGGUGGUUUAUAAAUGGGUGGUGGACUCGAGGGAGGUGUACGAGGUGGGGAGGGUGUAGGGGUUGGUGGUGGAGGUGUUUUAACAGGUGGUGGACUCGAUGGAGGAGUGCGAGGAGGGGAAGGGGUAGGGGUUGGUGGUGGCUUAAAGGUUGGCGAUGGAGGUGUUUGAGCUGGCGGGGGCUUAGGGUGGU